Molecule: ribosomal RNA, 288 nt
Filed under: uncultured bacterium
Lineage: Bacteria
Description: partial 16S ribosomal RNA
Rfam family: Bacterial small subunit ribosomal RNA
Source: RNAcentral
GAUAAACGCUGGCGGCGUGCCUAACACAUGCAAGUCGAACGCCCUUUUGCGCAAGUGAGAGGGAGUGGCGGACGGGUGAGUACCACGUGGGUACCUACCUUGAGGUGAGGAAUACCACCGAGAAAUCGGUGACAAGACCGCAUACGCUUGGCAACAAGCAAAGUCUCGCAAGAGACGCCACAAGAUGGGCCUGCGCCUGAUUAGCUAGUUGGUGAGGUAAUGGCNCACCAAGGCGACGAUCAGUAGCUGGUCUGAGAGGAUGAUCAGCCACACUGGGAUUGAGAACGG